RNAcentral lists this ribosomal RNA (823 nucleotides) under metagenome. RNAcentral describes it as "bacterial SSU rRNA". It matches the Rfam family "Bacterial small subunit ribosomal RNA", at positions 8 to 811 of the family's 1533-position model. The record is from RNAcentral.
AGAGUUUGAUCAUGGCUCAGAUUGAACGCUGGCGGUAACUUUUAAACAUGCAAGUCGAGCGGUAACAGACAUAAAGAUUCAGCUUGCUGAAUCCGGUGCUGACGAGCGGCGAACGGGUGAGUAACGCGUAGGAAUCUACCCAGUAGCGGGGGAUAGCCCGAGGAAACUCGGAUUAAUACCGCAUACGCCCUGAGGGGGAAAGGGGGCAGUUUACUGCUCUCACUAUUGGAUGAGCCUGCGUAAGAUUAGCUUGUUGGUGGGGUAAUGGCCUACCAAGGCAACGAUCUUUAGCUGGUCUGAGAGGACGAUCAGCCACAUUGGGACUGAGACACGGCCCAGACAUCUACGGAUGGCAGCAGUUAAGAAUAUUGGACAAUGGGGGCAACCCUGAUCCAGGUAUACCGCGUGUGUGAAGAAGGCCCUAGGGUUGUAAAGCACUUUAAUCAGAGAAGAAGCAUUUUAAGUUAAUACCUUAUUAUGUUGACGUUACCUGAAGAAUAAGGACCGGCUAACUCCGUGCCAGCAGCCGCGGUAAUACGGAGGGUCCAAGCGUUAAUCGGAAUUACUGGGCGUAAAGCGCGCGUAGGCGGUUUAGCAAGUUGUAUGUGAAAGCCCUGGGCUCAACCUAGGAACUGCAUUCAAAACUACUAAGCUAGAGUACGAGAGAGGAGAGUAGAAUUUCUGGUGUAGCGGUGAAAUGCGUAGAUAUCAGAAGGAAUACCAAUGGCGAAGGCAGCUCUCUGGCUCGUCACUGACGCUGAGGUGCGAAAGCGUGGGUAGCAAACAGGAUUAGAUACCCUGGUAGUCCACGCCGUAAACGAUG